GUUUAAUUACGAAGUCCCCAAACCCUUAGCUGCAUCUUGACAGCAAAUACAGCAAAUGAGUUUAUUCAUGUGAUUGCUGUAAGAAUUCCUGAAACUUGGCAGAAGAGACCUGGGCAGAUGCCUGAUCACCAAGCCCAGACAUGUUCACCUUGCUCCUAGAUUUGGAGCUUCAACAGGGCAAGCAGCAGCUCCUGUGCAGAACACAUUGGUGUUAUGAGGAGACGUUUUCCACACACAGGAGACUUUGGAGCUGGGUGGAGACGAUUAUUGGAUUUUGAAACUUCUGCAGUUGAUUUUUUUUUCAAGUUUUGUAUGUUAUCUUUUGGAAUCUCACAUAUCUUGAAACUUCAUUUUAUGUUCCAGAUGUGA
Molecule: long non-coding RNA, 369 nt
Filed under: Anas platyrhynchos platyrhynchos (common mallard)
Lineage: Eukaryota; Metazoa; Chordata; Aves; Anseriformes; Anatidae
Description: lncRNA (ENSAPLG00000026059.1)
Source: RNAcentral